UACGUAGGGUGCAAGCGUUAAUCGGAAUUACUGGGCGUAAAGCGUGCGCAGGCGGUUGUGCAAGACAGAUGUGAAAUCCCCGGGCUCAACCUGGGAACUGCAUUUGAGACUGCACGGCUGGAGUGCGGCAGAGGGGGAUGGAAUUCCGCGUGUAGCAGUGAAAUGCGUAGAUAUGCGGAGGAACACCGAUGGCGAAGGCAAUCCCCUGGGCCUGCACUGACGCUCAUGCACGAAAGCGUGGGGAGCAAACAGG
This 253-nucleotide ribosomal RNA is filed under the name uncultured bacterium. Its description in RNAcentral is "partial 16S ribosomal RNA". It matches the Rfam family "Bacterial small subunit ribosomal RNA", at positions 524 to 776 of the family's 1533-position model. The record is from RNAcentral.